UGUACCUACGGGGGGCAGCAGUAGGGAAUAUUUCUCAAUUUGUUAAACCCUUAAUCAUCAACUCCUCUUUUAUUAUUAAGGUUUUAGGAUUGUAAACUCCUUUUGUUAGAGAAGAUAAUGACGGUAUCUCACGAAUAAGCACCGGCUAACUCCGUGCCAGCAGCCGCGGUAAUACGGAGGGUGCAAGCGUUACUCGGAAUCACUGGGCGUAAAGAGUGCGCAGUCGGGCUUGUAAGUCAUAGUUGUAAUCCUGUAUGUUAACUACAGAACUGCAUUUGAAACU
RNAcentral lists this ribosomal RNA (283 nucleotides) under uncultured bacterium. Its description in RNAcentral is "partial 16S ribosomal RNA". It matches the Rfam family "Bacterial small subunit ribosomal RNA", at positions 334 to 634 of the family's 1533-position model. The record is from RNAcentral.